AUUGAACGCUGGCGGCAUGCUUUACACAUGCAAGUCGAACGGCAGCGCGGGCUUCGGCCUGGCGGCGAGUGGCGAACGGGUGAGUAAUACAUCGGAACGUGCCCAGUAGUGGGGGAUAGCUCGGCGAAAGCCGGAUUAAUACCGCAUGCGACCUGAGGGUGAAAGCGGGGGAUCUUCGGACCUCGCGCUCUUGGAGCGGCCGAUGGCAGAUUAGCUAGUUGGUGGGGUAAAGGCCUACCAAGGCGACGAUCUGUAGCUGGUCUGAGAGGACGACCAGCCACACUGGGACUGAGACACGGCCCAGACUCCUACGGGAGGCAGCAGUGGGGAAUUUUGGACAAUGGGCGAAAGCCUGAUCCAGCAAUGCCGCGUGUGUGAUGAAGGCCUUCGGGUUGUAAAGCACUUUUGGCGGGAACGAAAAGGACUGUGCCAAUACCACGGUUCGAUGACGGUACCCGCAGAAUAAGCACCGGCUAACUACGUG
Molecule: ribosomal RNA, 484 nt
Filed under: uncultured bacterium
Lineage: Bacteria
Description: partial 16S ribosomal RNA
Rfam family: Bacterial small subunit ribosomal RNA
Source: RNAcentral